Molecule: transfer RNA, 41 nt
Filed under: Peliosanthes teta
Lineage: Eukaryota; Viridiplantae; Streptophyta; Magnoliopsida; Asparagales; Asparagaceae
Also listed under: 1 other name
Description: partial tRNA-His
Source: RNAcentral
GCGGAUGUAGCCAAGUGGAUCAAGGCAGUGGAUUUGUGAUC